UGCUUGGGAAUAUGCCUUGAGGUGGGGACGAACAGUUGGAAACGAACUGCUAAUACCGCAUAAUAGUCUACGGACCGAAACGGAAGGGGAGUCUUCGGACCUUUCGUCCUUUAGUAUUAGCCCAACGUGAGAUUAGCUAGAAGGUGAGGUAAUGGCUCACCUAGGCGACGAUCUCUAGCUGGUUUGAGAGGAUGAUCAGCCACACUGGGACUGAGACACGGCCCAGACUCCUACGGGAGGCAGCAGUGGGGAAUAUUGCACAAUGGGGGAAACCCGUGAUGCAGCCAUGCCGCGUGUGUG
This 300-nucleotide ribosomal RNA is filed under the name uncultured Colwelliaceae bacterium. RNAcentral describes it as "bacterial SSU rRNA". It matches the Rfam family "Bacterial small subunit ribosomal RNA", at positions 114 to 407 of the family's 1533-position model. The record is from RNAcentral. Lineage: Bacteria; Pseudomonadati; Pseudomonadota; Gammaproteobacteria; Alteromonadales; Colwelliaceae.